UACGGAGGGUGCGAGCGUUGUCCGGAAUCACUGGGCAUAAAGGGUGCGUAGGUGGCUUGCUAAGUCAGUGGUGAAAUCGUCCGGCCCAACCGGACACGUGCCAAUGAUACUGGUGAGCUCGAGUGCGUGAGGGGUAGGGGGAACGAGCAGUGUAGCGGUGAAAUGCGUAGAUAUUGCUCGGAAGGCCAAAGCCGAAGGGACCCUACUGGUGCGCAACUGACACUGAGGCACGGAAAGCGUGGGGAGCAAACAGG
This 254-nucleotide ribosomal RNA is filed under the name uncultured bacterium. RNAcentral describes it as "partial 16S ribosomal RNA". It matches the Rfam family "Bacterial small subunit ribosomal RNA", at positions 524 to 776 of the family's 1533-position model. The record is from RNAcentral.